CACGUAGGUGGUUGAGUAAGUCAGAUGUGAAAGCCCCGGGCUCAACCUGGGAACUGCAUUUGAAACUGCUUGGCUAGAGUCCGGUAGAGGGGGGUGGAAUUCCAGGUGUAGCGGUGAAAUGCGUAGAUAUCUGGAGGAACAUCAGUGGCGAAGGCGGCCCCCUGGAUCGAGACUGACGCUGAGGUGCGAAAGCGUGGGGAGCAAACA
This 207-nucleotide ribosomal RNA is filed under the name uncultured bacterium. Its description in RNAcentral is "partial 16S ribosomal RNA". It matches the Rfam family "Bacterial small subunit ribosomal RNA", at positions 568 to 774 of the family's 1533-position model. The record is from RNAcentral.